UUCCCCAUUGCCACAUUUUUCUCCUAGUAAUAAAUUUUAGUGGCUGUGCUUAUGGAGUAGAUUAAAAUUGCCACGAUCUGAAGAGGGAAGACUUAUUUGUGUCCUCAUCCUAUAUGAAAUGGCUGAACAAGAAAAA
This is a small nucleolar RNA of Eptesicus fuscus (big brown bat), 136 nucleotides long. RefSeq annotates it as small nucleolar RNA SNORA29. The transcript has a single exon. Lineage: Eukaryota; Metazoa; Chordata; Mammalia; Chiroptera; Vespertilionidae. The record is from RefSeq and is a predicted model, not a curated record.